This 394-nucleotide ribosomal RNA is filed under the name uncultured bacterium. RNAcentral's name for it is "bacterial SSU rRNA". It matches the Rfam family "Bacterial small subunit ribosomal RNA", at positions 29 to 408 of the family's 1533-position model. The record is from RNAcentral.
AACGAACGCUGGCGGCGUGGAUAAGACAUGCAAGUCGAACGGGAACUCUCGCUGUAGCAAUACAGUGAAAGUUCUAGUGGCGAACGGGUGCGUAACACGUGGACAAUCUGCCUUAAAGUGGGGGAUAGCUCGGCGAAAGCCGAAUUAAUACCGCAUGUGAUGAGAGACGACAUCGUCUUGAAAUCAAAGCCGGGGCAACCUGGCGCUUUUUGAGGAGUCCGCGGCCAUCAGCUAGUUGGUGAGGUAACGGCUCACCAAGGCUAUGACGGGUAGCUGGUCUGAGAGGACGACCAGUCACACUGGAACUGAGACACGGUCCAGACACCUACGGGUGGCAGCAGUCGAGAAUUUUUGACAAUGGGGAAACCCUGAUCGAGCGACGCCGCGUGGAGGA